CGAAUUGUAGUUUAUAGAAGUGUUUUCUGGGACAGCUUGGGCAUAGAUUUACUGGAAAGUGAUGUCAGAGAGGGUGAGAACCCCGUACCUGGCCCAAUGCCUGUUCUUUUAUGAUGCACUUUCAAAGAGUCGAGUUGUUUGGGAAUGCAGCUCUAAACGGGUGGUAAAUACCAUCUAAAGCUAAAUAUUGGCGAGAGACCGAUAGCGAACAAGUACCGUGAGGGAAAGAUGAAAAGAACUUUGAAAAGAGAGUUAAAUAGUACGUGAAAUUGUUAAAGGGGAAACGCUUGAAACCAGUGGUGCGACCAGUAAUCAGUCUGUCCUUAAUUGGAUAGGUGCACUUGCUGCGAGCGGGUCAACAUCAGUUUGCAGCGGGGUAAAAAGCUUUGGCGGUUGGUGAAUUCCUUCAGCCUUGGUUAUGCCCUGAAGUGGACUGAGGAAUCGCUAUUUAAUUAUAGGAUGUUGACGAAAUGGUUUUAAACGACCCGUCUUGAAACACGGACCAAGGAGUCUAACAAAUAUGCGAGUAUUAGGGUG
This 537-nucleotide ribosomal RNA is filed under the name Nowakowskiella sp. SMS 015. Its description in RNAcentral is "eukaryotic LSU rRNA". It matches the Rfam family "Eukaryotic large subunit ribosomal RNA", at positions 139 to 700 of the family's 3401-position model. Lineage: Eukaryota; Fungi; Chytridiomycota; Chytridiomycetes; Cladochytriales; Nowakowskiellaceae. The record is from RNAcentral.